AGAGUUUGAUCCUGGCUCAGGACGAACGCUGGCGGCGUGCCUAACACAUGCAAGUCGAACGAGGUCCAGUCGGUGGCAACACCGAGGACGACCUAGUGGCGAACGGGUGAGUAACACGUGAGAAACCUGCCCCGAAGACCGGGAUAACCAGAGGAAACUCUAGCUAAUACCGGAUACCUUCACCGGAUCGCAUGGUCUGGUGAAGAAAUGGAUUCCGCUUCGGGAGGGUCUCGCGGCCUAUCAGCUAGUUGGUGAGGUAACGGCUCACCAAGGCAUCGACGGGUAGCUGGUUUGAGAGGAUGAUCAGCCACACUGGGACUGAGACACGGCCCAGACUCCUACGGGAGGCAGCAGUGGGGAAUCUUGCGCAAUGGGCGAAAGCCUGACGCAGCAACGCCGCGUGGGGGAGGAAGGCUUUCGGGUCGUAAACCCCUUUCAGCAGGAACGAAAAUGACGGUACCUGCAGAAGAAGCCCCGGCCAACUACGUGCCAGCAGCCGCGGUAACACGUAGGGGGCAAGCGUUGUCCGGAUUUACUGGGCGUAAAGAGCUCGUAGGCGGUUCGGUAAGUUGGGUGUGAAAACUCCAGGCUCAACCUGGAGAGGCCACUCAAUACUGCCGUGACUAGAGUUCGGUAGAGGAUCGUGGAAUUUCUGGUGUAGCGGUGAAAUGCGCAGAUAUCAGAAGGAACACCAACGGCGAAGGCAGCGAUCUGGGCCGAUACUGACGCUGAGGAGCGAAAGCAUGGGGAGCAAACAGGAUUAGAUACCCUGGUAGU
This 777-nucleotide ribosomal RNA is filed under the name uncultured bacterium. Its description in RNAcentral is "bacterial SSU rRNA". It matches the Rfam family "Bacterial small subunit ribosomal RNA", at positions 8 to 794 of the family's 1533-position model. The record is from RNAcentral.